AAUAGUUUUAUGCCACAUCAGCAUUUUGAUCUUGAAUUUCAGCAUUUUCAUCAUGAAAAAAAUCAAAUCCAAAUUAAAAUCCUGAAAUUCAGGAUAAAUUUACUGAUAUGGCAUAAAACUAUU
Molecule: non-coding RNA, 123 nt
Organism: Gossypium hirsutum (cotton)
Lineage: Eukaryota; Viridiplantae; Streptophyta; Magnoliopsida; Malvales; Malvaceae
Source: Rfam